RNAcentral lists this small nuclear RNA (259 nucleotides) under Meriones unguiculatus (Mongolian gerbil). RNAcentral's name for it is "7SK RNA (ENSMUGG00000026678.1)". It matches the Rfam family "7SK RNA". From Rfam's summary of the family: 7SK was discovered as an abundant small nuclear RNA in the mid-70s but a possible function has only recently been suggested. Two independent studies have found that 7SK RNA binds the CDK9/cyclin T complex (known as elongation factor P-TEFb). The record is from RNAcentral. Lineage: Eukaryota; Metazoa; Chordata; Mammalia; Rodentia; Muridae.
GGAAGUCCGGAAUGUGAGAGCUGCAGCAUCUGUAAUCCCACUGACCACCAGGGCUGAUUCAGCUGAUCUGGCUGGCUAGGUGGGUAUCUCUUUCCUCCCUCACCACUCCAUGUGUGUCCCUCCAGAAGCUGCUGGGAUAGAGGAGGACCAGUCUUCAGUCAUGUGAGUAUAUGAACGACUGCACUCUCCAACGAGAACCUCCAAACAAGCUCAAGACAUAUGUCCGGGUAAGAGAAAGGAGUUCAAGAAUUUGGGAUCU